AAGGAAAAACUUUCUGCAAAUCCACUAAUGCUUUUAUUCAUCAGUGGAUUUGUAGAAAGCUUUACCAG
Molecule: non-coding RNA, 68 nt
Organism: Hydra vulgaris (swiftwater hydra)
Lineage: Eukaryota; Metazoa; Cnidaria; Hydrozoa; Anthoathecata; Hydridae
Source: Rfam